AAAGUCGUAACAAGGUUUCCGUAGGUGAACCUGCGGAAGGAUCAUUAGUGAAUUAUGAGGUCCUCCUAGAGGACUCGUCUUCCACUUUCAACCCUGUGAACCCAUCAUCGCUCGUUGGUUGAGCAGAUGUAAAAUGUCACCCUUUUAACGCAUGUUAAUGAAUGUAAAAAAUUAUAAUCAAAUAAAACUUUCAACAACGGAUCUCUUGGCUCCC
This 214-nucleotide unclassified non-coding RNA is filed under the name Basidiomycota sp. RNAcentral describes it as "partial contains small subunit ribosomal RNA, internal transcribed spacer 1, and 5.8S ribosomal RNA". The stretch from base 1 to 47 matches the Rfam family "Eukaryotic small subunit ribosomal RNA", at positions 1785 to 1831 of the family's 1831-position model. Lineage: Eukaryota; Fungi; Basidiomycota. The record is from RNAcentral.